This 350-nucleotide long non-coding RNA is filed under the name Panax ginseng (ginseng). Its description in RNAcentral is "long non-coding RNA (PGIN_LNC019013)". The record is from RNAcentral. Lineage: Eukaryota; Viridiplantae; Streptophyta; Magnoliopsida; Apiales; Araliaceae.
UUAAUAUUAGGUCUUCGGAUAAAGCGUUAUAAAUUGCGUUGCGGUAAUCAACGGUUCAGGCAAGUUUGUUCUUACUUAACUCUAAUAAGAGUGUUUUAUUCAAGCUUAUGGUUAAUCAUUGCUGAUUGCCAUGAAAAUUGUACUAUGUACAUCUUGCAUGUAUAAGUCAGGUAUGAAAGGAUGAUCACCUUCAUUACCAGUUGGUUCAGAAAUGUUUGUUCAUGUUUAAAACUUGUUCAGUCAAAAAUUUGUUCGUGCUAGAUCUCAAUUAUAUUGAUGAAUUAUAGCAAGCCCAUUAUUCAUACUCUUCAAUCAUGAUAUAUCCUUAUAUUGUUAUAUUUAAAUUUGCU